CCUACGGGAGGCAGCAGUGAGGAAUAUUGGUCAAUGGACGAGAGUCUGAACCAGCCAAGUAGCGUGAAGGAUGACUGCCCUAUAGGUUGUAAACUUCUUUUAUAAAGGAAUAAAACGAGGCACGUGUGCCUUUUUUCAUGUACUUUAUGAAUAAGGAUCGGCUAACUCCGUGCCAGCAGCCGCGGUAAUACGGAGGAUCCGAGCGUUAUCCGGAUUUAUUGGGUUUAAAGGGAGCGUAGAUGGGUUGUUAAGUCAGUUGUGAAAGUUUGCGGCUCAACCGUAAGAUUGCAAUUGAUACUGGCAGUCUUGAGUACAGUUGAGGUAGGCGGAAUUCGUGGUGUAGCGGUGAAAUGCUUAGAUAUCACGAAGAACCCCGAUUGCGAAGGCAGCUUACUAAACUGUGACUGACAUUGAUGCUCGAAAGUGUGGGUAUCAAACAGGAUUAGAUACCCUGGUAGUC
Molecule: ribosomal RNA, 460 nt
Filed under: uncultured bacterium
Lineage: Bacteria
Description: partial 16S ribosomal RNA
Rfam family: Bacterial small subunit ribosomal RNA
Source: RNAcentral